This 434-nucleotide ribosomal RNA is filed under the name uncultured Ruminococcus sp. RNAcentral describes it as "partial 16S ribosomal RNA". It matches the Rfam family "Bacterial small subunit ribosomal RNA", at positions 341 to 792 of the family's 1533-position model. The record is from RNAcentral. Lineage: Bacteria; Bacillati; Bacillota; Clostridia; Eubacteriales; Oscillospiraceae.
ACGGAAGGCAGCAGUGGGGAAUAUUGCACAAUGGGCGCAAGCCUGAUGCAGCGAUGCCGCGUGAGGGAAGAAGGUUUUCGGAUUGUAAACCUCUGUCAACAGGGACGAUAAUGACUGUACCUGUGAAGGAAGCUCCGGCUAACUACGUGCCAGCAGCCGCGGUAAUACGUAGGGAGCAAGCGUUAUCCGGAAUUACUGGGUGUAAAGGGAGUGUAGGCGGGACUGUAAGUCAGAUGUGAAAUAUGCCGGCUCAACUGGCAGACUGCAUUUGAAACUGCGGUUCUUGAGUGAAGUAGAGGUAAGCGGAAUUCCUAGUGUAGCGGUGAAAUGCGUAGAUAUUACAUAGAACACCGAUCGCGAAGGCAGCUGGCGAGGACGGCACUGACGCUGAGGCACGAAGGCGUGGGGAUCAAACAGGAUUAGAUACCCUGGUA